RNAcentral lists this transfer RNA (85 nucleotides) under Nitrososphaeria archaeon. RNAcentral's name for it is "tRNA-Leu". It matches the Rfam family "tRNA". Rfam says of the family: Transfer RNA (tRNA) molecules are approximately 80 nucleotides in length. Their secondary structure includes four short double-helical elements and three loops (D, anti-codon, and T loops). Further hydrogen bonds mediate the characteristic L-shaped molecular structure. tRNAs have two regions of fundamental functional importance: the anti-codon, which is responsible for specific mRNA codon recognition, and the 3' end, to which the tRNAs corresponding amino acid is attached (by aminoacyl-tRNA synthetases). tRNAs cope with the degeneracy of the genetic code in two manners: having more than one tRNA (with a specific anti-codon) for a particular amino acid; and 'wobble' base-pairing, i.e. permitting non-standard base-pairing at the 3rd anti-codon position. Lineage: Archaea; Thermoproteati; Nitrososphaerota; Nitrososphaeria. The record is from RNAcentral.
GCGGGGGUCGCCCAGACUGGCCAAAGGCGUCGGGCUUAGGACCCGAUCUCGCAGGAGUUCGUGGGUUCAAAUCCCACCCCCCGCA